RNAcentral lists this transfer RNA (73 nucleotides) under Bos taurus (domestic cattle). It matches the Rfam family "tRNA". Rfam says of the family: Transfer RNA (tRNA) molecules are approximately 80 nucleotides in length. Their secondary structure includes four short double-helical elements and three loops (D, anti-codon, and T loops). Further hydrogen bonds mediate the characteristic L-shaped molecular structure. tRNAs have two regions of fundamental functional importance: the anti-codon, which is responsible for specific mRNA codon recognition, and the 3' end, to which the tRNAs corresponding amino acid is attached (by aminoacyl-tRNA synthetases). tRNAs cope with the degeneracy of the genetic code in two manners: having more than one tRNA (with a specific anti-codon) for a particular amino acid; and 'wobble' base-pairing, i.e. permitting non-standard base-pairing at the 3rd anti-codon position. Lineage: Eukaryota; Metazoa; Chordata; Mammalia; Artiodactyla; Bovidae. The record is from Rfam by way of RNAcentral. RNAcentral also lists the same sequence under 1 other name.
UCCCUGGUGGUCCAGUGGUUCAAGACGCCACACUCCCAAUGCAAGGGGCCGGGUUCAAUCCCUGGUCAGGGAA